UACGUAGGGGGCAAGCGUUAUCCGGAUUUACUGGGUGUAAAGGGAGCGUAGGUGGCAUGGUAAGCCAGAAGUGAAAACCCGGGGCUCAACCCCGCGGAUUGCUUUUGGAACUAUCAGGCUGGAGUGCUGGAGGGGUAAGCGGAAUUCCUAGUGUAGCGGUGAAAUGCGUAGAUAUUAGGAGGAACACCGGUGGCGAAGGCGGCUUACUGGACAGAAACUGACACUGAGGCUCGAAAGCGUGGGGAGCAAGCAGG
This 254-nucleotide ribosomal RNA is filed under the name uncultured bacterium. RNAcentral's name for it is "partial 16S ribosomal RNA". It matches the Rfam family "Bacterial small subunit ribosomal RNA", at positions 524 to 776 of the family's 1533-position model. The record is from RNAcentral.